Molecule: ribosomal RNA, 646 nt
Filed under: Ganoderma gibbosum
Lineage: Eukaryota; Fungi; Basidiomycota; Agaricomycetes; Polyporales; Polyporaceae
Description: eukaryotic LSU rRNA
Rfam family: Eukaryotic large subunit ribosomal RNA
Source: RNAcentral
GCAUAUCAAUAAGCGGAGGAAAAGAAACUAACAAGGAUUCCCCUAGUAACUGCGAGUGAAGCGGGAAAAGCUCAAAUUUAAAAUCUGGCGGUCUUUGGCCGUCCGAGUUGUAGUCUGGAGAAGUGCUUUCCGCGCUGGACCGUGUAUAAGUCUCUUGGAACAGAGCGUCAUAGAGGGUGAGAAUCCCGUCUUUGACACGGACUACCAGUGCUUUGUGAUGCGCUCUCAAAGAGUCGAGUUGUUUGGGAAUGCAGCUCAAAAUGGGUGGUGAAUUCCAUCUAAAGCUAAAUAUUGGCGAGAGACCGAUAGCGAACAAGUACCGUGAGGGAAAGAUGAAAAGCACUUUGGAAAGAGAGUUAAACAGUACGUGAAAUUGCUGAAAGGGAAACGCUUGAAGUCAGUCGCGUUGUCCGGAACUCAGCCUUGCUUUUGCUUGGUGCACUUUCCGGAUGACGGGUCAGCAUCGAUUUUGACCGUCGGAAAAGGGCUGGAGUAAUGUGGCACCUCCGGGUGUGUUAUAGACUCUGGUCGCAUACGGCGGUUGGGAUCGAGGAAUCGCAGCGCGCCGCAAGGCAGGGGUUCGCCCACUUUCGCGCUUAGGAUGCUGGCAUAAUGGCUUUAAACGACCCGUCUUGAAACACGGACC